RNAcentral lists this unclassified non-coding RNA (270 nucleotides) under Hevea brasiliensis (rubber tree). Lineage: Eukaryota; Viridiplantae; Streptophyta; Magnoliopsida; Malpighiales; Euphorbiaceae. The record is from RNAcentral.
AUAGAAAUCAUGAUUUGCAAAAGAAUAUGAUUCGAAAAAGAAAAGCUAAUGGUGGCUAAGCCACCUAAUUAGGGUGUGAUUACCUUCUCCAGAUGCAGCCUCCCAUCUCUUCUCCCUGUCCUCUAAUAAUAAAUGUUAUUUGUAGGAACUUAGAUGAAAGGAAUAAUCACCUGAUACGAUAUGUUAGUAUAGAGAGGAUUGUGAUAAGUGAAGAUGAAUAUGCUGCUUUGUUGCACUACACAAUUGCUUUACAAGUAAAUGUAUUCGAAA